This 305-nucleotide ribosomal RNA is filed under the name uncultured bacterium. RNAcentral describes it as "partial 16S ribosomal RNA". It matches the Rfam family "Bacterial small subunit ribosomal RNA", at positions 508 to 807 of the family's 1533-position model. The record is from RNAcentral.
ACAGCAGUCGCCGCGGGAAUACGUAGGUGGCAAGCGUUGUCCGGAAUUAUUGGGCGUAAAGGGCUCGCAGGCGGUUUCUUAAGUCUGACGCGAAAGCCCCCGGCUCAACCGGGGAGGGUCAUUGGAAACUGGGAAACUUGAGUGCAGAAGAGGAGAGUGGAAUUCCACGUGUAGCGGUGAAAUGCGUAGGGAUGUGGAGGAACACCAGUGGCGAAGGCGACUCUCUGGUCUGUAACUGACGCUGAGGAGCGAAAGCGUGGGGAGCGAACAGGAUUAGAUACCCCGGUAGUCCCUGUCUCUUAUAC